GCUGCCGUAGUUCAACGGAUAGAACGGCCGCCUCCUAAGCGGCAGAUGCAGGUUCGAUUCCUGCCGGGAGCG
RNAcentral lists this transfer RNA (72 nucleotides) under Gulbenkiania mobilis. RNAcentral describes it as "tRNA-Arg". It matches the Rfam family "tRNA". Rfam says of the family: Transfer RNA (tRNA) molecules are approximately 80 nucleotides in length. Lineage: Bacteria; Pseudomonadati; Pseudomonadota; Betaproteobacteria; Neisseriales; Chromobacteriaceae. The record is from RNAcentral.